RNAcentral lists this ribosomal RNA (490 nucleotides) under uncultured Ruegeria sp. Its description in RNAcentral is "bacterial SSU rRNA". It matches the Rfam family "Bacterial small subunit ribosomal RNA", at positions 32 to 573 of the family's 1533-position model. Lineage: Bacteria; Pseudomonadati; Pseudomonadota; Alphaproteobacteria; Rhodobacterales; Roseobacteraceae. The record is from RNAcentral.
AACGCUGGCGGCGGCUAACACAUGCAGUCGAGCGCGCCUUCGGGUGAGCGGCGGACGGGUUAGUAACGCGUGGGAACGUGCCCUUCUCUACGGAAUAGCCUCUGGAAACGGAGAGUAAUACCGUAUACGCCCUUUGGGGGAAAGAUUUAUCGGAGAAGGAUCGGCCCGCGUUAGAUUAGGUAGUUGGUGGGGUAACGGCCUACCAAGCCUACGAUCUAUAGCUGGUUUUAGAGGAUGAUCAGCAACACUGGGACUGAGACACGGCCCAGACUCCUACGGGAGGCAGCAGUGGGGAAUCUUAGACAAUGGGGGCAACCCUGAUCUAGCCAUGCCGCGUGAGUGAUGAAGGCCUUAGGGUCGUAAAGCUCUUUCGCCUGUGAUGAUAAUGACAGUAGCAGGUAAAGAAACCCCGGCUAACUCCGUGCCAGCAGCCGCGGUAAUACGGAGGGGGUUAGCGUUGUUCGGAAUUACUGGGCGUAAAGCGCGCGUA